CCGCGUCAUCCGGGAGCGCCGCCGGGGCGGGAGCAGGGAAGCGCCGGGCGCGGGGAGGGCGGCCGGGCUGCCCGCGGGGCCGGCCUCGCCAUGGCCCGCCAGCUCAUCGGGCCCGCGCUGCCGCCCGGCUUCCCGCGCCGCGCCGAGGCCGAGCCGGGCGAGGACUUCAGCCAGGUUGCAGGACCAGCACUGCCUCCAGACUACAAAAGCAGCUGUAGCUCAGAAACUCCCGACAGUGAUGACGACUCAGAAUCUCUUCCUCUACCCAGAGACACAAACAGAGAUUCUGAAGAGGAGACAGAAGGAGAUCCAGCACCCAAAAAGCCAAAAAGAAUUCAUGAAGACGAUGAUGAUGAUGGCUUUUUUGGGCCAGCUCUUCCUCCUGGAUUUAAAAAACAGGAUGAUUCUCCUGAGAGGCCCAUUAUAGGUCCUGCGUUACCACCUGGCUUUAGGAAAGCUUCAGAGGACACCAGAAGUAGCAGAUGUUUCAUAGGACCAUCUGUUUCAUCAGAAUCCCGUCCCCAGCUGACAGAUAGUAGUGAGGACGAAGACAAUUUAAUAGGCCCAAUGCCUGCAAAAGGACCAGUGGAGUCUGAUGUGGCUAAAGAGUUUGAACGCCGAGCUCAGAGAAUGAAAGAAAAGCUUACUUCAGCAGACAGUGAUGAACCCAAACAAGUUACCAGGGAAUCGUGGAUGACAGAGCUUCCACCUGAGUUGAAAAGCUUUGGAUUUGGCCCAAGAACAUUCAAGAGACGUGCUGAUGACAAAUCAGGUGAUAGAUCUAUUUGGACAGAUACUCCAGCUGACAGAGAGAGAAAAGCCAAGGAAAGAGAAGAGGCAAAAAAGUCAAGCAGUAAGGAUAAUGAAGAAAUGGUACUAUCUGGGAGGGACAAGAGGCUUAUUGAGCAGGUGACUUCAUACAAUGAGUCAAAGAGGUCAGAGUCUCUCAUGGACAUGCACCAGAAAAAGCUGAAGAGCAAAGCAUCCGAAGAAAAGAGCAAACCUCAGGAAAGAAGGCCGUUUGACCGAGAGCAGGAUCUCAAAGUCAACCGCUUUGAUGAAGCACAAAAGAAAGCUCUUAUAAGAAAAUCCAGAGAUCUGAAUAGUAAAUUUGAGCACAGUAAAGGCAACAUGUUUUUAUAAGAUGAAAGCAUUAAGCUUUUUUGAAGUGAAGUCCAUAAAAAUUUGAAUACUUAAUUUUUACCAGAGCAGCUCUUCAGUAAGGAAGGAAAUAAAUCUGACAUUUAAAAAAGUCUACAUUCGUGUUGAGAGUUCUUUACCUCUUCUGAGGUAACAAAGCAGCAGAAGUGGUUGUUAAACCUUGCAGUGGGCUGCUCAAGAAGUCAGUGCAGUCAGCAUCCCUGAAGGUGUUCAAGAAACAGCUGGAUAUGGCACUUGAUGCUUUGGUCUACACCAUGGUAAUCAGUCAAAGGCUAGAGUCAAUGAUUUAGAAAUCUUUUCCAACCUAAAUGAUUCUGUGAUUCUGUGUUAAUUAUUUAAAAUUAGACCUGUGCUUUUGCCCUUUGUCUCAAAUGCUUACAAUCCUUCUUAAGCAGUUACUGAAAGUACUUAUAGAUGAAAACAAUUUUAUAUAUGAGAUGCUGGUAAUUUGUUUGGAGGUAUAAAUACUGUGGGGUUUGCCAUAAUUUGGAAAAAAUUCCUGUAAUUUGGAAAAAGGCUACCCUGAGAGGUGGUGUCUGGGUUACUUCAUGUUUAAUCAAGCAGUGACUUAACAAGUUCCAGAAACGAAUAUUUAAAAACUUGGCCUUAUUUUAUUGCAUUUGUGUGUGAGCUGGAGACACAGGCUUCAUGUGCUGAGAAGUCUUGCAGUGUUUCUGAUGUUGCAAAUGACUGCUUACGUGGAAUGCAUUUAGAUACCGCUUUUUUUUCUAACGGACAAUUUAUUUUGCCAGCUGAAAACCCUCCUACCUUCUGGAGAAAGAGAGAUUGAUUUUGUAUUGUGUUUGCUUUUUAUCACUUCAGUUCCUGAGCCUUCUGUUUUGAGGUGAGAGGAGGGUUUAAAUAAGGGCUCUUUAUUUUUCUUCUCCUGAUACAGACUUCUCUUGCCUCAUGCUUUUUUAACUCAGCAAUCAAGGCCUCAUUAAGGUUCUACUUUCUGAGCAAAUGUAGAUUUCAUUAUUGGAAAAGCAGUAUUAGAAAUGUCUGGGACUUUUUUAGGCAACUAAAGCGAUGACAGGGUGAGCACGGUAUGACUAGCUAAUCUUCACAGCUGAGAAAAAAUUACUUGAUGAGCACAUCAUGCAGUCUUUGCUCAUUCAAAGUCUGGAGCAAGGAUGAGGGCUGCUUGUAUAAAAAAUGUUGUUGUUGUUGUUCUGUGCUCUGUUUUGAUUUUUGUCCUUUGGCCCCUCCUCCAAACUGAGGACCAGUCAUCAGAUAUCACAGAUGGCCAGAUCCAGUUGGCUCCCUGCUGUUUGUCUCUGCCCUGCCUGGCCCCAUCGUGGUCUCCUGCCCUGCCCAAGGCCAUGCCUGAGAGGAAGCUCUGCAGCAUUGCUCAAGAGGAGAGCUCUCAUAACAGGAGUGCAGCAGCCCCUUUGCCAUCCUGCACUAUUCAUCUGUGGGACACGUGGUUCUAAUUAAUGAAGCCUUGGAGCGAGCUGGGAACUUGGUUUUGACUCUUCUUUUUUUCCCCCACUCUGCGGCAGCUUCUUAAAGACUUGAUGAUAUCAGUGUUAUGAGCUUGAGGUGGGGGCAAGUGGAGUUGUUGAGAGUUCAAGUUAAGCUUUUCAUUACUUUGUGUAAAUUGCAUGAACCUUUGAACUGAAUUCAUACACAAACUCAUCUCUUACUCAUGCCAAGCCAUCUCCUCAAGUAGUCAUUAGAACAAGCAGUAACUCAGUAAAUUACAAGUUCUGUAAGGUUUCAUGGGAAAAGAUGAGACAUCUACAAUUUGGAAAAGUUGUAAAGCUUUUCUGCUGCAAUGUUAGGAGGUGUUUUUUUCAGAAUCUCAUUUGAGAAACCAGAAUCUAUUUCACAAAGAAUCUUCACCAUAAUUACUAUGCAGUGUUUCUGGUAACCAGCUCCCAACACAGAUUUAAUGUAUGCUGUUGCUAUUCUGCAGUGCCAGCCCAAGUCACACCAUACUGACUCCAGGCAUAUCAGGAAAUCCUGUUUUAUAGAAAGAAAAUGUCAGAGAGGUUUUCCUGAAUGUGAAAAGUCUACCAGCCUAGAUUUCAGUGUGCUUGCCUUUGAUUUGGGCUGCCAUAGGUGUUCUCUAUUUAUACUGAUGUUGAACAUUCCUGCUCAAGAGUGAGGUCUCCUCUUCUGAAAUGUUAAAUAGGUGUGUAAUUCAUAGUAUAGUCAGCAAAAAGAAGGUUUUUGUGGUAGGCGUAUAAUAAAUUGGGUGCUUAAAAGGAGUUUUAAGGAACAUUAUAUGUUAACAACAAAAAAGAAAGGGAAAAAACCAAAAAACAAUUGUUGAGUUUGCUGUUACCAAUGAACAAUUAAAAGCAAUAAAGACAUUUCAAGAAAA
This is an RNA transcript of Passer domesticus (house sparrow), 3490 nucleotides long. It is a transcript of the gene named GPALPP motifs containing 1, with no coding region annotated. The transcript is spliced from 9 exons. The record is from RefSeq and is a predicted model, not a curated record. Lineage: Eukaryota; Metazoa; Chordata; Aves; Passeriformes; Passeridae.